AGAGUAAAGUUAAACUUUACUUUACAGUAAUUUUUUUUCUAUAUACAAAGAAUUACAGUACAUGUUUAUGGGGACUCCUACAGGGUUCCCCUCAUUUUCACUAAGAGUUUCACUUACAGCUGACAAUCUAUGGGGAGGGAGGGGGCAAAAGACCAGUGAUGGACCUCAGCUGACAACCCCCCCCCCGCCCCUUUCUAAAAAAUAUAUAGAUCUCUAUUGUCAGCUUGUUUCUUCGCCAAGACUUAGAAAGCUGCUCUUCCCAUGAGCUCCCGUGUGCUGCACUCACCCAUCUUCAAUACACUCUACAUGCACACACAGCAGCACCCACCUUGGACCUGGAGACCGCCUGUUUUCUGCCCUACCCUGGAAGUCUAAAGCACCACAACCAUUCACUUUUGCUCCUACUCCCUGGGCUCAUCUCCUGUCCACAAAGCUUUGCUGGACUUCCAGGAUAUUAGAACUGAAGCCCCUCAAUAGCCUGAUGUUUUGAAAGUCAUGGGAAAGCAGCUCUAGAGAAGGGACCAUGUAAGAGUUUAACAUGAUUUUGCUUAUGCUAGGAGGAAACAUUUCUCAGGCUGUGGAUUUCUAAUUAAAAUAAACUCUUUCCACUUCCUUAAGAAAUAUUACCCUUAAUUUUCAUAAGCAAUAGAGGUGCUCCCAUGAGAGUGGAAGAGGUAGAGAGGGGCAGAAGGUAACAGGAGAACCCCACAGCUGGAGCUCUCUACCAACCUGUUCUAGGCAGUGUGGACGGAGGCUACACCAGGUGACAAGGUGACACCAGCCCUGAGAAACUCAAUGGCCACCCUCGUCUGGAUACAGCAUCUCUUCUGCCUAGGAUUACACUGAACCACUCCAGGGUCGGGUGCAGGCUUCACUGAGGCUCUGCCUUUUUCUCUAAUAGAGCCUCAAAGAAACCAUUCUACAUAAAUUUCUUCCUCCAAAGCAGGAACCUGGGUUUCUCAAUUCACCAGUCCCUCUCAACCCUUGGCAGUGCUUAUUUAUACCAGAAAAUUAGCACCAUCAUUACAUUUUUUUGUGUUCAAAGCAAUUAUCUAUUAUUUCAAUCUGUCCUACAGCAACCUCUGGCCCUGCUGCAAUGGCCCUAGGAAGCUCAGCUGAGAGCUAAUUGGUCAUAACCAAUGACAGUCUCGUGCAGCAGCUACCUAGCUCUAAGUGAUCUGGAAUGUCUAGCACAUGAAGCAGCCCAAGCAUUAUUUAGCAGGAAAAGGGACUUGUGGAAGCUCCUUUCCUGCAAUGACCUCAGGUGAGGACACUGGGCCACUCCGACCUCCUGGUUGACAAACCCCAAAAGGAUGACAAUAUCCUCCAAAAAAGCCUUAGGAGAAAACCCACUUUAUAGGAGCGGAGGGCAAAAUCCAACCACGUUUAGUGCUUUCCUGAUUCCUUUCCACAGGGGAAGCUGCCAGGACCAUACUUCCUUCCUGCCAUUCUGUUCUCAUGAUGUGACCUGGGAGUCCAGUUCCAGUAAGGAGAUGCUGCUGAACCUGGGAAAGGAUCACUGAUGCGCUUUGUGCCCUGACUGUAGUGUGGGGUAGAGAAUGUGAUAAAACAAUUAUUUCCAUCGAUGCUAAAGAUGCAGAUUUGGUAGUUAUUCAUUAGAGGAUCAACACAGUGACUUAAAUCACCUCAAACUCAGUAACUUAUGGGGGAAGCAGACAUUUAAAAACCUGGGAUACUUCUGUAGCUUUGACAGCUAUUUUGCUAUUAGAAUGGGUUUCUCCAAAGGAGAAGCAAACGAGGCUUUGAAUUCAAAUUUCCAUAAAGUCCUUUUGACUUAACAGGGCUAGGAGACAUAUUGGUUCUUUAGCAACCUAUGGAAGCCAUGGCUUCCCUCUUGGAAACAUUUCCUGGGGACUGGCUCAGAGGCAUUCUCUUGAGAUCCUGAUUUCCAGGCACUUGGCCAAAUACCAAAAUACCACCCUACACAAAGAUCAGGAUUCUAAGAGAAAAGCUUUCCUUUUAACUGCCAAUUCACACCCUCUGGAGAAAAGGUCUCAGUACAGGGCUCCAGGAGAGUCCCCAAGGGCUGGCAAGGUUACUCCCUCCCCACUGACCCUCAUGCAAGAGUCUCAAUUUCCCAACAGUCCUUCUGGCUCUGCUUCUAAUUGUAUGGUGACUGCUUUCUUGAUGUUAACAAUCUGGUAUCAGGUAUGAGGUGGGCCUGAUAGCUGAAUUUCUAGUUUCCAUUCUACCUGAGAGCCUUUCAGUAACCCUCACAAAAGCCUGGUUGUCUAUCCAUUUAGAUAAAGAACUGCCACCCCCCCACCCUCACCCCCAAACCAAGCACACCUCAAAAGUUGUUUUCCCAGGCAGUUCUGGAAGGAAGUUUCCAGCAAAUGGUGGAGAAUGGAAAGAACCAAAACAAAAUCACAGUGGCCAAUUAUGGCCCACCUUUCCCUCACUCCUUGUCCUGUGAGACAUAUCUAGAGAGCGGAUGUCAAGUCAAUUACCUACCAAAGCCUAUUUCAGGAUCAAACUUCUCCACUUAAUUUUUUUUACAUAGCCUGCACACACCCCACCCACCCCCAAAUUCACAGUUUAUUUCAUGAAACAAAGAGCUACGGUAAUUUAACACACAACAUAGUGAAAGGAGAUUCUGACAGUGCAGUGCGAAUAUCUUUUUCUGAUCACAACUACAGAUGACAGGAGAGAAAAGGGCACAGGACUGGCACCAAGCAAACCCUACUCAUACAGCCUAAGAGAUUAGGGAAAGGGACCUACUAGCUGCAGUUAUAUACUUAUUAUUCUCACACAUGAUAAAUACUUAAUAUAACGAACUUUAAUGUUCUGGGUGGAUUUCUUUAAAAAUAUCUUUUCCAUGGUUUAAAAUUUUAAAAAGAAAAUAAGAUGCUUUGUUUUCUCUUCCUUUUGAACAAAGAAGUUUUCUUCUCUCAUGAUGUGGGAAGAGAGGAUGAAAAGGGGAGAACUAGGCAGGUGGAAUUUACAGAGGAGAUUCCGAGGUCUAAGUGGGAUGCAGAUAGGCCCCUAGACUCGGGACAGCCCUGCCCAGCCUCGCACCUCUGCCUGAGUUCAGGUGUCUCAACCCGAGACAGACUUUGGGAAAUAAAAGCAAAUUCUUUUAAUCUUUAUAUAAAGCGCAAAUGCUUCUAUAACUAUUGUUCCCUCCUUAGAAGUGAUGUGGGUAACCUCAAUGAGAACUUAGGAGGAGGAAAUUGGGACAAAAUACAGAAUCCUGUUGAGGGUGUAAAAGCCAUAACUGAAACAGAAUGGCCAGGAGACAUCUGGGCCAGGAGAUGGUCUGUUGGCUAAAGCUGCUGGCUAAGUUGGCAAAGCAGAGAGGUAAACAUGUUUGGUCUAGGGACAAAAGGAGGGGUGAGUGAAUGGGAAGGAACUGGCCAAACAGCACUUCCUGUUGGCAGUUGGUGAGCUGGGUGAAUGGUAGGGCAGGGUAGCACCAACAGAUUUCCCAGCCCUUGGGCCCCAGCUCAGGGCAGCAGUAACAGAUAAUCAGCAGUUAUGAGGAAUCAUCUCUCAGACUGGACAUUGCUCUGAACACCCCAUCUUGCCAGUCAUAGGGGAAGGGUUCUGGCUUGCCUUUGAACAAGGUCAGUAGGCAGGUGCUCUCAAUAUAGAACACAGCGAUUCUCAGGGAUAGGGUGGUAGACUCCACCAGUGAAGGAGAGGACUCCCUCCAUUCAGGUAAGAGAGUGAAGGAUCAGAAGAGAGGGAAUCUUCUAUCAGGAUCUGGCACUCUCCCUGAGCUGGUGGUAGAUGUAGCCCAGAGCUUGCCAGAGGUUCCCUAUGUCCACUGCCCAACUCUGAAAUCUGAAAGCACCUGAGUAUUUAGGGGGCGGGCAUGGGGGUGGGCUGAUGUAAAAGGAGGAAAACAGGUAGAAAAGAAAGGUAAGCUUGCCAAUUGCCUUCUUAUACUUGAGGAAAGCUAUGUCCUUGUAGAGCCCAGCCCCCCAC
This 3951-nucleotide long non-coding RNA is filed under the name Canis lupus familiaris (dog). RNAcentral's name for it is "lncRNA (ENSCAFG00000052131.1, ENSCAFG00845010753.1)". The record is from RNAcentral. Lineage: Eukaryota; Metazoa; Chordata; Mammalia; Carnivora; Canidae.